RNAcentral lists this ribosomal RNA (1199 nucleotides) under Bacillus amyloliquefaciens. Its description in RNAcentral is "bacterial SSU rRNA". It matches the Rfam family "Bacterial small subunit ribosomal RNA", at positions 9 to 1189 of the family's 1533-position model. The record is from RNAcentral. Lineage: Bacteria; Bacillati; Bacillota; Bacilli; Caryophanales; Bacillaceae.
GAGUUUUGAUCCUGGCUCAGGACGAACGCUGGCGGCGUGCCUAAUACAUGCAAGUCGAGCGGACAGAUGGGAGCUUGCUCCCUGAUGUUAGCGGCGGACGGGUGAGUAACACGUGGGUAACCUGCCUGUAAGACUGGGGUAACUCCGGGAAACCGGGGCUAAUACCGGAUGGUUGUUUGAACCGCAUGGUUCAGACAUAAAAGGUGGCUUCGGCUACCACUUACAGAUGGACCCGCGGCGCAUUAGCUAGUUGGUGAGGUAACGGCUCACCAAGGCGACGAUGCGUAGCCGACCUGAGAGGGUGAUCGGCCACACUGGGACUGAGACACGGCCCAGACUCCUACGGGAGGCAGCAGUAGGGAAUCUUCCGCAAUGGACGAAAGUCUGACGGAGCAACGCCGCGUGAGUGAUGAAGGUUUUCGGAUCGUAAAGCUCUGUUGUUAGGGAAGAACAAGUGCCGUUCAAAUAGGGCGGCACCUUGACGGUACCUAACCAGAAAGCCACGGCUAACUACGUGCCAGCAGCCGCGGUAAUACGUAGGUGGCAAGCGUUGUCCGGAAUUAUUGGGCGUAAAGGGCUCGCAGGCGGUUUCUUAAGUCUGAUGUGAAAGCCCCCGGCUCAACCGGGGAGGGUCAUUGGAAACUGGGGAACUUGAGUGCAGAAGAGGAGAGUGGAAUUCCACGUGUAGCGGUGAAAUGCGUAGAGAUGUGGAGGAACACCAGUGGCGAAGGCGACUCUCUGGUCUGUAACUGACGCUGAGGAGCGAAAGCGUGGGGAGCGAACAGGAUUAGAUACCCUGGUAGUCCACGCCGUAAACGAUGAGUGCUAAGUGUUAGGGGGUUUCCGCCCCUUAGUGCUGCAGCUAACGCAUUAAGCACUCCGCCUGGGGAGUACGGUCGCAAGACUGAAACUCAAAGGAAUUGACGGGGGCCCGCACAAGCGGUGGAGCAUGUGGUUUAAUUCGAAGCAACGCGAAGAACCUUACCAGGUCUUGACAUCCUCUGACAAUCCUAGAGAUAGGACGUCCCCUUCGGGGGCAGAGUGACAGGUGGUGCAUGGUUGUCGUCAGCUCGUGUCGUGAGAUGUUGGGUUAAGUCCCGCAACGAGCGCAACCCUUGAUCUUAGUUGCCAGCAUUCAGUUGGGCACUCUAAGGUGACUGCCGGUGACAAACCGGAGGAAAGGUGGGGAUGACGUCAAA